This 253-nucleotide ribosomal RNA is filed under the name uncultured bacterium. Its description in RNAcentral is "partial 16S ribosomal RNA". It matches the Rfam family "Bacterial small subunit ribosomal RNA", at positions 524 to 776 of the family's 1533-position model. The record is from RNAcentral.
UACGUAGGUGGCAAGCGUUGUCCGGAUUUACUGGGCGUAAAGGGCGCGUAGGCGGCAAUUCAAGUCAUCUGUGAAAUCUCCGGGCUUAACUCGGAAUGGUCAGGUGAUACUGCUUUGCUAGAGUGCAGAAGGGGCAAUCGGAAUUCUUGGUGUAGCGGUGAAAUGCGUAGAUAUCAAGAGGAACACCUGAGGUGAAGACGGGUUGCUGGGCUGACACUGACGCUGAGGCGCGAAAGCUAGGGGAGCAAACGGG